AACGUGUUCCGGGGUCGGUGUAAGUCCGAACCGGCGGUGACAGUCCGCGACCUCUUCUGGUUCUCCAGAAGGGCUGACUCGGUGAAAUUCCGAGACCGACAGUUAAAGUCUGGAUGGGAGGAACUCGUC
RNAcentral lists this non-coding RNA (129 nucleotides) under Tessaracoccus sp. ZS01. Its description in RNAcentral is "FMN riboswitch aptamer (RFN element)". It matches the Rfam family "FMN riboswitch aptamer (RFN element)". Rfam says of the family: The RFN element is a highly conserved domain that is found frequently in the 5'-untranslated regions of prokaryotic mRNAs that encode for flavin mononucleotide (FMN) biosynthesis and transport proteins. RNAcentral also lists the same sequence under 1 other name. The record is from Rfam by way of RNAcentral. Lineage: Bacteria; Bacillati; Actinomycetota; Actinomycetes; Propionibacteriales; Propionibacteriaceae.